Molecule: long non-coding RNA, 1049 nt
Filed under: Anser brachyrhynchus (Pink-footed goose)
Lineage: Eukaryota; Metazoa; Chordata; Aves; Anseriformes; Anatidae
Description: lncRNA (ENSABRG00000006856.1)
Source: RNAcentral
GCUGUAUCUGUAGUUUACUCCUGCAAAAACUGAUGUUGCUACCAGAGUCCACGGAAAAAAUGUGGAUUUAGGGGAGCCUUCUGAGCCUUAGAGAGAAAGAAAAUGGAGCGUCUGUGACUCAGCCAAAGCCAGUGAAUAAAGCAGAAUUUUCACCCUCAGGGAAACAAUUAAGUCAAUUUGAAAACCUUUAGUUUAUUGUUGCAAACACGGGCAGCCUAAAGGAGAGAUUUCCAAGUUCACACAAAGUUACAGAGGUAAUGUGAUAUGGUAUUUAGUGGUACUGAACUUCUAAAGAAAUCUGUAUGUAUGGAUUUAUUUAAGCCUCUCCCCUUAAGAGAUACUAGCCUAAAUCACACCAGCCUACCUACUUUUUUUUUUUUUUUCUAUAUUCAAUGGUAACCAAUACAGUCACUUGUGUAUUUCAGUUAAGGACUCACUAUUCCCCAGCCAAUUAUCCUUUAAGACUUAUUGCUCUCCAAUGUGACCUCACAAACAAGAAAUUCCAAGUAAAAAUUCUCUCCAGAAUCAGACAAAAGGAGACGGAUGACUUAAAGUUGUCAAGGAUUGACCUGGGUCCUCACAUUGCUAGAGGAAGAUUUCUCUGAUGUUCCUGAACAUCCAGAGGGCCUGACGGAAGCUGCCUCCAGGAUCAACACCUCUCCCCUUCAUUGGCAAUCUGUGGACACUGAGCUUCCAAACUCACCAUGAAAUGCUCUUGAAGUGAAGGCUGUUCCUUGUCUAAGUACUGGUACUCUGAAAACACUGUCUGACUGGAAAACAAAUGAACAUGGAAAGGCAAAGGAUGACCCACGCUCUGUGUUCAGAGAUCACCAUGACACAAGUGAUCAUGGAUCUCUUUUGGCAGGCUCAGACAUCACCACUAACACUUCGUGCUGGCCUCUCCUCUAUGUGGUGGUGUACCUGGGAGAACAAGGUGAGAAAUGCAUGGAUUGUACUUAUACAUGUCACUGUCCCUGCUUGUGCCUCAGCACUAGGCAAAAUGCCAUUGAGUCAGUUGUCCCAACCCUGCAGUGUAACGUGGUUGGGGC